Molecule: transfer RNA, 88 nt
Filed under: Actinomadura livida
Lineage: Bacteria; Bacillati; Actinomycetota; Actinomycetes; Streptosporangiales; Thermomonosporaceae
Description: tRNA-Trp
Source: RNAcentral
GGUGUCGGCCAGCCGGCGGCGGACGGCCGGGAUCUCCAGCAUCCCGUCGAGGACGGACGGGGCGCGUUCGAGGUCUUCCCCGGUCUCG